Molecule: long non-coding RNA, 467 nt
Filed under: Dasypus novemcinctus (nine-banded armadillo)
Lineage: Eukaryota; Metazoa; Chordata; Mammalia; Cingulata; Dasypodidae
Description: lncRNA (ENSDNOG00000051361.1)
Source: RNAcentral
GCACUAGGUCUGUGCUUUGAACUCCUCUAAGACAGAGCAUGUCCAAAGAGUCAUAAUUUCAGGGUGACAAGAUUGGAGGUCAGUGCUCUAUUUUCCAGCUAAAUAAGGGAGUGAGAAGUUGAGAGCUCAUACCUUCCCCUCCUCUCCCUCACUUGCAAGCACUUUGCAAAUUCUUGCUAAGGCCUCGGGCUCCAGAGGGACCCAGAAAGGUCUUAGAACCCAGGGUAGAGAGCUGGGCUUUCCUAUGGUAGCCAGCAAGGUCUCAAGGAAGAAGGGAGGGAUGGGAGUGGCCCAAUCCUUAAUAACCUUCCUGCGCAUCUUUGUUUUCCUAAAGACUGGCUUGCGGACCGCAAGUAUGACUCCACUAGCAGCGAUGACGACGACGACAAUCCAGGUCACCCUAUCACGGUCACCGCAAUGGUACACUCAGAGGCGUUUUUCUCGGACUCAGAAGAGUCAGACGUAGA